This 1472-nucleotide ribosomal RNA is filed under the name Craterium leucocephalum. RNAcentral describes it as "partial small subunit ribosomal RNA". The record is from RNAcentral. Lineage: Eukaryota; Evosea; Eumycetozoa; Physariida; Physaraceae.
UCGUAGUCUUAACUAUAAAUGAUGCAGGCCAGAGAUAGGAUACUGUCCAUCUCGACUCUUCCUGGAUCUUGGAGAAAUCAGAGUCUUUGGGUUCUGGGGGGAGUAUGGUCGCAAGGCUGAAACUUAAAGGAAUUGACGGAAGGGCACACAAAGAGUGGAACCUGCGGCUUGAAACUCGAAUUAGGCCGUAAAAGCGGGGUCCCCCCCGCUAGUCCGGACCCCUUCCGGGGGUCGGGGCGACAUCACCAAAUUGCAGGAAAGCCCUAAAAACCCCGGUACUCCCCAGUAUUCGAAAGGAUUCUGGCAUAGUAACGACCCGGGGCGCUGAAAAUGGGCAACCCGCAGCCAAGGCCUAACCCCGACCCUCCCGAGGGUCGGGCAUGGCCAGGGUUCACAGACUAAACGGUGGUGGGUCGAGGUCACGAAAAUUUUUUUUUCGAUUUUUUGGACCGGUAAUCCGGGACCAGAAUCGCUACAAAAUUUUUUUUUAGGUCGGGCAAAUUUUUUUUUCGAUUUUUCGAUUUUGAUUUUUAGGGGGUCGGGAGGGUCUAACCCUAGACCGACUUGGACCGGGAUUUCUCGGUCCAACCCCUAACCCUAGCUAACCCUAGAGGGGGUCACCUACCCAGGUGGGGGGGGGUCGGGAGGGUUUAACCCUAGAUCGACUUGGACCGGGAUUUCCCGGUCCAACCCCUAACCCUAGCCAACCCUAGGGGGGUACCCAAACUYGAACCCUUUUGGGUCGGGGGGGGGGUCGGGAGGUCGAACCCUARACCGACUUGGACCGGGAUUUCCCGGUCCAAACCCUAACCCUAGCUAACCCUAGGGGGUCCCCAAACCCUAACCCUUUCGGGUCGAGGGGGGGGUCGGGAGGGUCUAACCCUAGGUCGACCUGGACCGGGUUUUCCCGGUCCAAAAAUCAAAAAAAAAUUUUUGCUCAGCCAGGUCGGAAACCUCGGUCUAAGAGAUAGUCGGGCCCCACCUGAGAAGGGUAGGGGGGUAAACCGUAAUUUGACUCAACACGGGAAAACUCACCAGGUCCAGAUACACGCAUGAAAGUCAAGCUGAAAGACUUUACUCAAUGAUGUAAGUGGUGGUGCAUGGUCGUUCGUAGUUCGUGGAUUGAUUUGUCUGGUCUAUUCCGAUAACGAGCGAGACCCCAACGUUCCUAAUAGGGGGAGCAGCCCGGGCGGCCGAAAGGUCGUCUAGCAGCUCCCUGAGACUAGCUUCUUAGACGUAUCAGAGCCGAUAAGGUUCUUGAAAUGGGUUAAUAACAGGUCAGUCAUGCCCUUAGAUGUUCUGGGCCGCACGCGCGUUACAAUGGCAUGUAAAACAAGUGCUGCAAAAGGUGUCCCCGGGGCUGAAAAGCCCUGGUAACCCCUAGUCCCUGCCUUGACUGGGACAGAUCAUUGCAAUUAUUGGUCUCAAACGAGGAAUUUUUAGUAAUCGCCGGUCAUUAACCGGCGAUGAAU